Molecule: ribosomal RNA, 484 nt
Filed under: uncultured bacterium
Lineage: Bacteria
Description: partial 16S ribosomal RNA
Rfam family: Bacterial small subunit ribosomal RNA
Source: RNAcentral
AUUGAACGCUGGCGGCAGGCCUAACACAUGCAAGUCGAGCGGAUGAAGGGAGCUUGCUCCUGGAUUCAGCGGCGGACGGGUGAGUAAUGCCUAGGAAUCUGCCUGGUAGUGGGGGAUAACGUCCGGAAACGGGCGCUAAUACCGCAUACGUCCUGAGGGAGAAAGUGGGGGAUCUUCGGACCUCACGCUAUCAGAUGAGCCUAGGUCGGAUUAGCUAGUUGGUGGGGUAAAGGCCUACCAAGGCGACGAUCCGUAACUGGUCUGAGAGGAUGAUCAGUCACACUGGAGCUGAGACACGGUCCAGACUCCUACGGGAGGCAGCAGUGGGGAAUAUUGGACAAUGGGCGAAAGCCUUAUCCAGCCAUGCCGCGUGUGUGAAGAAGGUCUUCGGAUUGUAAAGCACGUUAAGUUGGGAGGAAGGGCAGUAAGUUAAUACCUUGCUGUUUUGACGUUACCAACAGAAUAAGCACCGGCUAACUUCGUG